This 241-nucleotide ribosomal RNA is filed under the name uncultured bacterium. Its description in RNAcentral is "partial 16S ribosomal RNA". It matches the Rfam family "Bacterial small subunit ribosomal RNA", at positions 99 to 334 of the family's 1533-position model. The record is from RNAcentral.
CGGACGGGUGAGUAACACGUGGGUAACCUGCCUAAAAGAAAGGGAUAACACUUGGAAACAGGUGCUAAUACCGUAUAUCUCUAAGGAUCGCAUGAUUUUUAGAUGAAAGAUGGCUCUGCUAUCGCUUUUAGAUGGACCCGCGGCGUAUUAACUAGUUGGUGGGGUAACGGCCUACCAAGGUGAUGAUACGUAGCCGAACUGAGAGGUUGAUCGGCCACAUUGGGACUGAGACACGGCCCAA